RNAcentral lists this ribosomal RNA (604 nucleotides) under Triticum aestivum (bread wheat). Its description in RNAcentral is "partial small subunit ribosomal RNA". The record is from RNAcentral. Lineage: Eukaryota; Viridiplantae; Streptophyta; Magnoliopsida; Poales; Poaceae.
CAAAGAUGAUUUUUAUUUCAUCCAAAUGGUUUUAUAGGUACACAAUGAUGAUGAGGUCAGAGCCUUGUUUAAGCAAGUGCAAGAAGUCCCUGGAUCUUCUAUAAUUAUUAUGAAGGUGGCAUCUCAGAGCUGACAUCUAGAGGAUCAGUUGCUCCGUGACAAGCAUGGCAACAUGGCAUCACUGCAAAGUCGAGACUGUAGCGUUCAAAGAAGGCACCAAAAGCUGAAUUAGGGAAGGAUGCCGGAGUUACAUGUACACAACCCUUAUUCUGCUAACUAUGGCUCUCUUUUGUUGAUCGCUUGCCUUUUGGAAGCUGUUGGCCUUUGGUUACCCCAAGGGGAAAUUUUCUGGCUUGCUUCACGGGCCGUAGCUCCUCCUUCCCCAACCCCACUUUGUCUCCCCUGUGAUUUGCCUGUUCCUGAUCUUAGUGGCUGGCAUGUCUCAAAUUUUCAUUGGGCAGGGCUACUAACGUAAAGGAGCAAACUGGAAAUUCCACCUGCAUAUUUUAGGCAAUUAUUCAUGUUUUGUAAACCCUUUGUGUGCAUAUGGUAAGCAUGAACUUGUCCCUGCAGCUCAUGAUAAGAGUAGGACCUUAAAUUCGCC